AGAAUCAACGCUGGCGGCGUGCCUCAGACAUGCAAGUCGAACGAUUAAAGCUCUCUUCGGAGAGUGUAUAGAGUGGCGCACGGGUGAGUAACACGUAAGUAAUCUACCUUCGAGUGGGGGAAUAACCCGGGGGAAACCCGAGCUAAUACCGCAUAAUGCAGCGGCAUCUAAUGAUGACAGUUGUUAAAGAUUUAUCGCUUGAAGAGGAGCUUGCGGCAGAUUAGCUAGUUGGUAAGGUAAUGGCUUACCAAGGCUACGAUCUGUAACCGGUCUAAGAGGACGGUCGGUCACACUGACACUGAAUAACGGGUACAGGACUCCUACGGGAGGCAGCAGGUCGGGAAUUUUGGGACAUAGGGCGAAAGCCUGACCCAGCCAACGCCGCGUGAAGGAGUGAAGUAGUU
Molecule: ribosomal RNA, 404 nt
Filed under: uncultured soil bacterium
Lineage: Bacteria
Description: bacterial SSU rRNA
Rfam family: Bacterial small subunit ribosomal RNA
Source: RNAcentral